Molecule: ribosomal RNA, 329 nt
Filed under: Clostridioides difficile
Lineage: Bacteria; Bacillati; Bacillota; Clostridia; Peptostreptococcales; Peptostreptococcaceae
Description: bacterial SSU rRNA
Rfam family: Bacterial small subunit ribosomal RNA
Source: RNAcentral
UUUUAUUUGAGAGUUUGAUCCUGGCUCAGGAUGAACGCUGGCGGCGUGCCUAACACAUGCAAGUUGAGCGAUUUACUUCGGUAAAGAGCGGCGGACGGGUGAGUAACGCGUGGGUAACCUACCCUGUACACACGGAUAACAUACCGAAAGGUAUGCUAAUACGGGAUAAUAUAUUUGAGAGGCAUCUCUUAAAUAUCAAAGGUGAGCCAGUACAGGAUGGACCCGCGUCUGAUUAGCUAGUUGGUAAGGUAACGGCUUACCAAGGCGACGAUCAGUAGCCGACCUGAGAGGGUGAUCGGCCACAUUGGAACUGAGACACGGUCCAAACU